GGGGAAUUUUCCGCAAUGGGCGAAAGCCUGACGGAGCAAUACCGCGUGAGGGAGGAAGGCUCUUGGGUUGUAAACCUCUUUUCUCAAGGAAGAAAAAAAUGACGGUACUUGAGGAAUAAGCAUCGGCUAACUCCGUGCCAGCAGCCGCGGUAAUACGGAGGAUGCAAGCGUUAUCCGGAAUGAUUGGGCGUAAAGCGUCCGCAGGUGGCUWUGUAAGUCUGCUGUUAAAGAGUCUGGCUCAACCAGAUAAAGGCAGUGGAAACUACAUGGCUAGAGUGCGUUCGGGGCAGAGGGAAUUCCUGGUGUAGCGGUGAAAUGCGUAGAGAUCAGGAAGAACACCGGUGGCGAAAGCGCUCUGCUAGGCCGCAACUGACACUGAGGGACGAAAGCUAGGGGAGCGAAUGGGAUUAGAUACCCCAGUAGUCCUAGCCGUAAACGAUGGAUACUAGGCGUGGCUUGUAUCGACCCGAGCCGUGCCGUAGCUAACGCGUUAAGUAUCCCGCCUGGGGAGUACGCAGGCAACUGUGAAACUCAAAGGAAUUGACGGGGGCCCGCACAAGCGGUGGAGUAUGUGGUUUAAUUCGAUGCAACGCGAAGAACCUUACCAGGACUUGACAUGUCGCGAAUUUCUGUGAAAGCAGAAAGUGCCUUCGGGAGCGCGAACACAGGUGGUGCAUGGCUGUCGUCAGCUCGUGUCGUGAGAUGUUGGGUUAAGUCCCGCAACGAGCGCAACCCUCGUUUUUAGUUGCCAGCAUUAAGUUGGGCACUCUAGAGAGACUGCCGGUGACAAACCGGAGGAAGGUGGGGAUGACGUCAAGUCAGCAUGCCCCUUACGUUCUGGGCUACACACGUACUACAAUGCUACGGACAAAGGGCAGCAAGCAUGCGAAUGCAAGCUAAUCUCAUAAACCGUGGCUCAGUUCAGAUCGCAGGCUGCAACUCGCCUGCGUGAAGGAGGAAUCGCUAGUAAUUGCAGGUCAGCAUACUGCAGUGAAUUCGUUCCCGGGCCUUGUACACACCGCCCGUCACACCAUGGAAGCUGGUAGUGCCCGAAGUCAUUACCCCAACCGCUUGCGGAGGGGGAUGCCUAAGGCAGGACUGGUGACUGGGGUGAAGUCGUAACAAGGUAGCCGUACCGGAAGGUGUGGCUGGAUCACCUUCU
Molecule: ribosomal RNA, 1162 nt
Filed under: Spirirestis rafaelensis WJT2-NPBG8
Lineage: Bacteria; Bacillati; Cyanobacteriota; Cyanophyceae; Nostocales; Tolypothrichaceae
Description: bacterial SSU rRNA
Rfam family: Bacterial small subunit ribosomal RNA
Source: RNAcentral